RNAcentral lists this long non-coding RNA (817 nucleotides) under Zea mays. Its description in RNAcentral is "long non-coding RNA (ZMAY_LNC000935)". The record is from RNAcentral. Lineage: Eukaryota; Viridiplantae; Streptophyta; Magnoliopsida; Poales; Poaceae.
GAUGAGGACAUCCUCCAUUAUUACCCGUUGGCAAAGACGCAAUUGGCCCAGUUGGCCCAAUUGUAGUAGGACGGAGACCGUGUGAGCCUCAGAAUUAUCCCACCUCGCUUAACCUGGGAGGAGGAAGCCACUUUAAAAGGGAGAGCCACCCUUCCCCCAUUGGACUAGUCUUUUGGGGCAAUUGGGCCUUUCCCUGAGUUGGGUGUGCUUAAUGAACUGUUGGGCUCUAGGCAACCCUAAUUUGUUGGGCCUCGGCCAACCCCACCUGGGCUGGGUGUAUCAUCUGGUAUCAGAGCUAGGGCCCAUUUUGAGAAGGUGGAAUGAUGAGGACAUCCUCCACUUUUACCCGUUGGCAAAGACGCAAUUGGCCCAGUUGGCCCAAUUGUAGUCGAACAGAGACCAUGUGAGCCUCAGAAUUAUCCCACCUCGCUUAACUUGGGAGGAGGAAGCCACUUUAAAAGGGAGAGCCACCCUUCCCUCAUUGGACUAGUCUUUUGGGGCGAUUGGGCCUUUCCCUGAGUUGGGUGUGCUUAAUGAACUGUUGGGCUCCGAGCAACCCUAAUUUGUUGGGCCUCGGACAACCCCACCUGGGCUGGGUGUAUCAAAGAGUCCCUAGUUACUAUUCUCUGUCUCACUGACAAAUGCACCGAGCCCCUUCUUCUUUCUUAUCUUCGCAAACUUGGGUCCCCGAUGGUGAUCACCGGUGAGCACGCCUUCCAGUGAACCUGUACCGGCCAAGACACUGAACGACCAGAGCCCUAGCUUGGCCGACACCAAAUUCCACCCUCGGCGACACAAAUUCCCCCAUGAAUUGCAC